AAAGAGAACAGCUCAUGUUCGUGUCCAGACCUGCUGUGGGCCACACCUUGUUGCCAACAGGAUUUAGAAGAGGAUCUCUAACGUGAUCUGAGCUAAAAAUCUGUCGUGGCAUCUGUACCAUGGAACUGUCGAUACUGUGGGUCGUGUGUUGAAGGUCUGGUCACUGGUGCCUCUGGAUCGAGAUAAUACACUUCGUUGGUUCGGACGUACGGGAUGAACUGGGCCGAGGGAGGCCUUCCAGCCUCGGGGACUGGAG
Manacus vitellinus (golden-collared manakin) is the source of this 256-nucleotide long non-coding RNA. RefSeq lists it as uncharacterized. The transcript is spliced from 3 exons. The record is from RefSeq and is a predicted model, not a curated record. NCBI's taxonomy places the organism in Eukaryota, Metazoa, Chordata, Aves, Passeriformes, Pipridae.